RNAcentral lists this transfer RNA (72 nucleotides) under Camelus bactrianus (Bactrian camel). It matches the Rfam family "tRNA". Rfam says of the family: Transfer RNA (tRNA) molecules are approximately 80 nucleotides in length. Their secondary structure includes four short double-helical elements and three loops (D, anti-codon, and T loops). Further hydrogen bonds mediate the characteristic L-shaped molecular structure. tRNAs have two regions of fundamental functional importance: the anti-codon, which is responsible for specific mRNA codon recognition, and the 3' end, to which the tRNAs corresponding amino acid is attached (by aminoacyl-tRNA synthetases). tRNAs cope with the degeneracy of the genetic code in two manners: having more than one tRNA (with a specific anti-codon) for a particular amino acid; and 'wobble' base-pairing, i.e. permitting non-standard base-pairing at the 3rd anti-codon position. RNAcentral also lists the same sequence under 2 other names. Lineage: Eukaryota; Metazoa; Chordata; Mammalia; Artiodactyla; Camelidae. The record is from Rfam by way of RNAcentral.
AAGGGUAUAGCUCAGUGGUAGAGCUUGUGCUUAGCAUGCACAAGGUCCUGGGUUCAAUCCCCAGUACCUCCA